Long non-coding RNA from Mercenaria mercenaria, 2715 nucleotides. RefSeq lists it as uncharacterized. NCBI's taxonomy places the organism in Eukaryota, Metazoa, Mollusca, Bivalvia, Venerida, Veneridae. The transcript has 5 exons. The record is from RefSeq and is a predicted model, not a curated record.
AGAAUAUAAUGUGGAAUACUAAUGGCUACAGGGCAAUAAUUGGCAAGAUUGCUUCAGUUACACAUGAGUUACAGCCCUUGAAUAUGUCUUAGUAGUGUUGCUUACCAAUACAGAAGCAAAAUUUUCUUGGUAAAAUAUUCAAGGUUGUUAUAAAUAGGAACUUGGUCAUUUUGGAUUUCAAGUAGGUUACUAGGUCAGUUUAUAGAGAAACUUACCAAUACAGAAGCUAAAUUUUCUAUGUAAUUGAAAUAAAACCAUUCUGAAUGUUUGCCUAUGGAACUAAAUUAAAUUCAAGUUUAACUGGGUCAUCUGAUGUAAAAGGUCACCUGGUAAUAUCUAGUUGGAAACUGCAUCAUUUGAGGUCAAAAACUAGAUCAAAGAAAAAUCCUUAGUUACACUCUAGUUAUAUACAUGUAAGAGAUGUGAAACUUGGUUCAGUAUCUAGCACUAUUGUGACCCUUUUGAUUUUUGUAAAGUUUUAAGUAAUUUUUGUGUAAGUUUCAGUUUAAAUCAGGUUUACACUUGAUAUUGCAUAAAGUUAUGGUUAGGUUAAGGGCUUUUUUCUUACUUUAAGAGGGUAGGAGUGAGCAUUAUUUUGUUUUGUUUUUCUGCCAAUCUUUCAGACAACUAAGGAUGAGAUGCUGCUUCAAAAGAUUGGCAGAAUUGCUUUUUGUUACAGCUUCCAAGGCCUGACAGAUCCCUUAACUAUUGAUCGAGACAUGCUGCCGUAACCAUCGAGGAUAAUCUGGUGUCUAUAUAUCCGCAAGGUGGAGACGUGUGGGAGUGACUGGUUCUAUAAUUCUGUGCCAGCAGUGUUUAGAUGAAGGUUGUUCCUUUUUGUUUUGAGAGAUGGGAAUCAGGGAUUGUGAGGAUUUUCAUUUCUUUCAGGUACACAGUCUGCCAAUGACAACUGACUGUAUGUCCCGUCCAUACGUACAGUCGGCAGGAUUUUCUUUCAGCAUCAAGACCUGCCUAGGGCAGUCUCUAUGAGGUGGGCAGGAUUUCUUCUUUUCCAGGUCCAAGGCCUGCCUAAGACAACUGAACAUAUAGAUGUGGCAAAACUUUUCUUUCAGAUUUCCAGGCCUUGCAGAUUCCUUAACUGUUGAUCAAGACUGCUAUCGUGACUAUCGAGGACCCGGUGCCUAUAUGUCCGCAAGAUAGGAGCGUUUGGGGGCAACUUUUCUACAAUUCUUUGCCGGCAGGUUGCUAGACGAUAGUUGCUCCUUUGUUGAGUGAGAUGGAAAUCAGGAAUUGCAAGGAUUUCUUAUUUAUUUCAGGUCAAUGCCCUGCCUAUGUCUUCUAAUGCAUGUUUUACUUGGACGGAACAUACAUUGGGCAGGUUUUGUAUUUCUUUCAGGUUCAAGGCCUGCCAGGAACGGGCAGGAUUUUUUCUCUUUCAGAUGAAUGUUUGCCUUUCUUUAACCAGGACAGGCCAGUCUGUCGGAAGUUUUUUUCAUGUAGCUCACUUCUGCAGUAUUGAAUUCUUGCCUUAUUAAAGCAAACUUUCUUAACAUAACAUAAUUUGGCAGGUUUUUUCCUGUUUUGGCUUAUUUUUAAUUACAGGCUUGAGAGCAGUCUUUUACUAUUUCCAUGCUUGGAAAUGUUAAAUGAUGACAGUCCUUUUGUAGAAAGCCAGACACUUUGUACCCAUGGAAAUGUGAAAUGAUGCCAGGUGUUGUGUAUGUCACCUGCCUGCAAUCUACAAGACCUUGACUGCAUGGAUCUUCAGUAUUUCCAUUUAGAACUCUGAUGACACGACAAAACAAUUCUACAAUCUUCACCAUGAUUAUGGUCGAAUUGCAAUUCCAGCAUAGCAAGUGCAGUAUAGUGUAAAGCCAGCAUGUAUGUUUUUCUCACAAAGCAACAAGGUGUGUCAAGGCAGAAGCUGUGCAUCUUGAGAGGCAUGAGAAUGUUUCUAUUCCAAUAUGGCUGUGAGCAUGAAAUCACCUGACCAUGUGCAGAAAACAUCUUCUGUGAACCAAUCAACUUUUUAACAUAGUGACAUGUUUUCCUCCCAAUUUAGAUGUUCAGUGUAUGAUUGGUCAUCUUAACCAAGAAACAUUGCAAGCUCACUGAAAUCUGCAAUCACUUCAGCCGACUUGGUCAUGAUAGUGAAAAUUAAAGUUCCUGAAAAAUCGGCAUGUUGAUGACCAGUAGCAGUCAGAAUGUGAGGCAAAAAUGACUUUGGCAGUAACCCAGACAUUCCUUAUGUAUCUUCAUACAUCUGUGUCUUAGUCAAGAAGUUAACUUGGACCUGUCCCACAGGGAGUCAUUGAUUACCAACUAGGUAGCAGGACACACUUCACAGAUGGAACCACAAAAAAUGUUUAUCUGUAACAGACCUGAUACUGAAGGCUAUAACCAAAGCCUAAGCUGGAAUCUGCUGAGGUGAAAUAAACAUAAGACUCAUCGAGUGUGACUUUAGAGCAAAAUUUAUUCAAAUGUGACGAAAGAUAAACAUUAAAAUUCACUUAAGUAACAAUUUAAGUAAUGUUUAAAGGUGAUAGUGAAAACUAUGAAUUUGACAUUAAAGUUCAGAUGACAGUGAAAAAGAGACAGUAAUACUUACUUGUAAAAUUCAGGUGUGACCAUGUUAGAUUAGAUAUUUGAACCACUGCAUGUUCUAUUAAAAUUAUGUUUAAAUGUGACAGUAGACAUAGUAAAAUGAGGAUAUGUGAAUUGGUAUAAAUGUCAUAUAAUAAAGUGAAACUGAUA